CCUACGGGAGGCAGCAGUGGGGAAUUUUGGACAAUGGGGGCAACCCUGAUCCAGCCAUGCCGCGUGAGCGAAGAAGGCCUUCGGGUUGUAAAGCUCUUUCGGACGGAAAGAAAUUGCCAUCUCUAACAUAGGUGGUGGAUGACGGUACCGUAAGAAGAAGCACCGGCUAACUACGUGCCAGCAGCCGCGGUAAUACGUAGGGGGCGAGCGUUAAUCGGAAUUACUGGGCGUAAAGCGUGCGCAGGCGGUUUUGUAAGACAGGCGUAAAAUCCCCGGGCUAAACCGGGGAACUGCGUUGGGGACUGCAAGGCUAGAGUGCGGCAGAGGGGGGUAGAAUUCCACGUGUAGCAGUGAAAUGCGUAGAGAUGUGGAGGAAUCCCGAUGGCGAAGGCGGCCCCCUGG
This 402-nucleotide ribosomal RNA is filed under the name uncultured beta proteobacterium. RNAcentral's name for it is "partial 16S ribosomal RNA". It matches the Rfam family "Bacterial small subunit ribosomal RNA", at positions 338 to 732 of the family's 1533-position model. Lineage: Bacteria; Pseudomonadati; Pseudomonadota; Betaproteobacteria. The record is from RNAcentral.